GACAACCAAGUCCUUAGGUCGA
RNAcentral lists this non-coding RNA (22 nucleotides) under Arabidopsis thaliana (thale cress). The record is from RNAcentral. Lineage: Eukaryota; Viridiplantae; Streptophyta; Magnoliopsida; Brassicales; Brassicaceae.